GUACUGCAUUUCAGCAUUUUGAAAACAAGUCUAUAUAAAAGGGGCCAAAAUGCAUCUUGAGAGUCAAUUAAAUGUUUGUGGCCUUACCUGCAUCCAGGAUUAGCAAAAUAGCUCCAAGAGGCACCUCAAAGCUCUCUCAGGUGAAAGAAAGCAACUGUUUGCUUGGACAAAAGUAUCCUGCAGUUUAUUUCUCUCCAAAUGUGCUGUCAGGGAAUAACAUCCUGCAGGUAUUGGCUGUUUGGCUGUUUCAUGGCUCCAGGAAACUGCAGGUAAUAGUAGAACUAUCAGUGUCCUGUAAAUGAUCAGUUGGAUAUUGAGUCAGGCAAAAGUCAGUCAUUCAUUCAUUCAAAAAAAUCAAUCAUUCCUCAAAAUCUUUGACUUUGCUGUUGAUAUGAGAAGGAUCUUUAUCAUGGUUGGGCCCUGACAAAUGUCCUCUUCUCUCCUCUUACACACAGCUUCUGGGCAAGCCCACCUGCUCCUGCUCUCAGAACAGGAAAGGAGAGAAGGCACCAAGUCCAGCCCUCCCGUGUUGCUGCAACAUGGCCCAGUAUUGAGCCACUCAGAUGCCAGCAGGUCUCCCUCUGCCAGGAACAGAGCAGUGACCUCCUCUGGGACAGGAAAAAACACUUAACUCAUCCCAUCUUUGCCCAGAGCCUUGGUGUUUGAGCAGCCAAACCCAACAAGCUCCAGAACUGCUGGUCCUGCCCAUGGUGUGGGGUGAGUCCCCAGCUGUCCCCAGAGUGCCCCAAAUGCAGAGGGAUCGGCCCUGCCCAGCUGUUGCCCACCAGGCUGGCUAGGAGAGAUCUGCCUUGGCUUUACAGGGAAUGUUUGCAGUGACUCAGGAGAUUCCAGCAGCCUCGUGUGUCCCGGCGCUUCCCGGGCAGCCGAGCUGCUCUCCCGCCCCUCCUGCUCCCAAGCCCCGCCGAGCUGAGGGCAAUUUGUCCUGCCAGCAGCAGGGGAAGGACCCUGGGGCUUGGAUUGUCCCUCUGGGGGAUGUUGGGAUUUCCAUCAUUCCAUGCAUUUGGCUGCUGGAAUUUCCCAGCCCAGGGGCUUUAGCUGACAGGGCAGCACAGGGAUUGUUCUCGGUGUGGCACCCAGAUCUCAGGGUCAGUAUCAGCUUUGCUGGUUCAGAUGAAUUAUACCCACAGCCCCAAAUUCCCUGCUGAAUUCCUGCUGGAAUAACCCAACAGUGCCUUGUGGAGUCUGGACAUUCCCAUGCAGAGCUGCCGUGGAACAGCAGCUGUGGCAGGAACCAGCAGAGGUUCCAGGACAAGGACAGGUUUGUAUUCCAUAGAAUUUGCUGUUUAUAAACCUCAUCCCCCAGCCCCACUGAUGUCCCUGGGGGACACUUGACAGAGUUCCCUGGAAUUCAGCUGAUUUCAUCCCCCUGAGCUCGGGCUCCAGUUGAAAUUUUAAAGCAGGAGAAGGUGAUGGCUCCUGGCCCGUGCUGAGGCAGCCCCUGUGCCCAGGGGAGGACAUCUCUCCCUGCAGGAGCUGACUCCAUCUCAGAGCCUCAGGAGUGCCUCUGCAGGUUCUUUUCCCUCAGGAAAGGGAUGCACAUCCCUGCUUCCAGCACACCUCCAGUGGGACCCACCUGUGAGUUUUCCAUCAGUUCUGUGGUUCCAGCUGGCUCCCUGGAACACUCCAAACUUCAUCCAAACAAAACCUCACCUGACUCUAACCUUUUAUUUACAGGCCUCCCUGAGGGCAUUGCUUGGGGUUUCAUUUCUGGGGGGAAGAUCCCCCUGGCUUUAACGCUGCUGAGGGAUGAUGUCCCUGGCUGGGAGGGAAGGGGUUUGGGGGGCUGGGACACACCUGGGGGUGUGCAGGAGCUCCGGGAGGUCGGCACCGGGAAUUGCUGCCUGAGCCCCUCCUCAAACGCACCGCGCUGACAUUCCCAGGUAAAGCCAGAUGUUCCAGCUGUUCCUCGGUAAUUUGGGGCUGCGGGCGGGGUCUGUCCGGGCUGAAGCAGCUCCGGAGCCCGUCAGAGCAGCCCCUGGCCGAGGAGCCGCGGGCAGCCCUCGAUCCACGUCCAUCCCAGCGCUGCCCAUCCCCGGGAUGCGGGUGUGGCGGGACACUGAGGCACAGCUCCUCCCCUGCAAACACCGAGGGCAGGAGGUGCUGGGUCCCUUCCUGGGCUCCCGGCCUCCUCCUGCCCCGCAUUCCCAGCCAGCUGGGACCACUGAGGAAACACCAAGGAACAUUCCCACCUGGGAGUGGGAGUCACCAAGGGCUCCGUGCAGCUCCGGGCCAGGAAAGUGGCCCCAGCCCCAGCACCUGCAGGGAUUUUGGGCUGUGAACACUCACCUGCAGGGAUUUUGGGCUGUGAACACUCACCUGCAGGAAACGCCCCUCUGCAGGUGGGACCAGCCCUGACACUCUCCUGAAGAACUCUGGCCACGGACCAAGUGAACCCUCAGGGCUUGUCCUGCUCAUUUCUCCUUGGAAAGGGACAUGGAAUGAGCACCUUUACAGCUGGUGGUAAAUCCUGGAAAGAGCAGGAAACCAAGGUUAUUGAAGAGUCUGGUGCUGUCCUGUGAGACACCAGCCAGUCCUGCUCUAGAGCCAGUCUAGGGGCUGGUGUGCAGAGCAGGACUAGCAGGAAGGAAGGAGCCACAUUGACAUAGGAAUUCCCUUGCUGGCAGCAGCCACCUCAUCCCAGGCAGGACCUUCCUCAUGAGCCUGAGGUUGCUCAGGUGCUUGGAGCAGGGUGCUGACAAGGCCAAGAUGCUGAAUUCAGUCCCCACGUGGGCCAAUCGCUCAUCACCGUUUGACUCGAUGAUCCUCGGGGCCCUUUCCAACUCGGAACCUCCUGUGCUCUGAAAAUAAAGAACAAACACCUU
RNAcentral lists this long non-coding RNA (2843 nucleotides) under Taeniopygia guttata (zebra finch). Its description in RNAcentral is "lncRNA (ENSTGUG00000023738.1)". Lineage: Eukaryota; Metazoa; Chordata; Aves; Passeriformes; Estrildidae. The record is from RNAcentral.